Long non-coding RNA from Manis pentadactyla (Chinese pangolin), 922 nucleotides. RefSeq lists it as uncharacterized. Lineage: Eukaryota; Metazoa; Chordata; Mammalia; Pholidota; Manidae. The record is from RefSeq and is a predicted model, not a curated record. The transcript has 2 exons.
GAGAGCUCUUCAAUUGCACAGCAAACUGUAGGACUCAUUAGGACAAACAUUUCUUUUACUGCAUUUCAGCGUAUUUCUGAUAGUGAAGAACUGAAUCACAUAUUAAAGUAUGUCUUUUACUUUUGAUUUCUUUACUUAGGGAGGUUGAGAGGGAAUUUUCCAGGCUCUGAGGAAAUUACAGGCUUGAUUUUUAUUCCUCCUCUCAUUUGUGCUCCAGGCAGAUGUGGGCACAUCUGUGUACCUGAGGCAGGACUCAGAAUUCAGACAUUCACAGAAUGAGAAAUUAAGAAUUUAAAGCCAUCAAAUGGUUGCAAUAAAUGUCACACUUUGGAAAUUGACCUGUGAAAGCCAAACCCAAAACAUUGUGGUACCAGUGCACAAAAGGGUGAGAAAUGCAAAGAGGAGGGCACUUAUGGCCAAAACAGAAAAUGGAAAUGGCACUGAAGAAAUUACAGGUUGUGAGAAAAGGCAGAGUCAGACUGAUGAAGGAACAUCGCACUCGGAGAUAUAGGGCCCAGUCCUGAGAAAGGCACUGGCCACACAUUUUCCAGAAGACGUCUUUGCUGUCCAGAACAGAGACUCUCAACUUUGAGAUUCAUUGGCUUGAGUCAGAGGGAGAGGGGGAACCCCCACAUACUGACUCCAAAAUUUGGGCUUUAGCAGCGCCUGCAUUCUAAUUCCAGCUUUCUCUCCCAGCUCUGCUGAAUGACUUCAGACAAGUUGCUAAUGUUCUCAAAGCCCUGGUUGUCUUACCUGGAUAAUGAGGGUAAUGACAUUGCCUACGUCAGGGUAUUGUUGUGAGGUUUCAGUCAGACAGUUUAUGUAAAACCACAUAAAAGGUGAAGUCUCGAUAAAUGUUUGUGUCAAUAUUAAUAAUAACUAUAUAAUUAUAAUAAUAAAUUAUAUUAUUACAUUUAUAUAA